AAGUCGUAACAAGGUUUCCGUAGGUGAACCUGCGGAAGGAUCACGUUAAAAUCCCCCCCGUGAACAUUGAUUCCUGCUCUUGUAACCCGCGAAGCUUGCAAUCUCUGGUAAAUCAUAGCCCGGAAAGUAGUUUUGAUUCAGAGACCUCUGGCCCGUGCGAAAAUUGGAACAGUUACAAUUCGAGCGGUAGUUCUAGAGGCCUUGUUUCCCCAAGCAGUCAGUGUCUGAAAGUGUCAGUGAUUGUGCAAGGAUAACACUUCACGAUUCUUGUAGACCGCACCUCGCGGGCAGGAGCUAGGCCAAAGGGUCCCCAUGCCCCCUUACAACCCCACAGUUAAAUGUGAAGCUCAAUGUAAUACAUUGAGUAAAAAACCGAGCAACUGUUAACAAUGGAUAUCUUACGAUGAAGAACGCAGC
Molecule: unclassified non-coding RNA, 417 nt
Filed under: fungal sp.
Lineage: Eukaryota; Fungi
Description: partial internal transcribed spacer region
Rfam family: Eukaryotic small subunit ribosomal RNA (bases 1-46)
Source: RNAcentral